GGAAAAGUCGCUAAAGGUAGGGCAAAAUAUUUGCUAAAUAUUGUGUAUUUAACACUUGGAUGUUCAAUUCAUCUCUUUUCCG
RNAcentral lists this transfer RNA (82 nucleotides) under Arthonia cupressina. RNAcentral describes it as "tRNA-Ser". The record is from RNAcentral. Lineage: Eukaryota; Fungi; Ascomycota; Arthoniomycetes; Arthoniales; Arthoniaceae.